This 401-nucleotide ribosomal RNA is filed under the name Euapta tahitiensis. RNAcentral describes it as "partial 12S ribosomal RNA". It matches the Rfam family "Bacterial small subunit ribosomal RNA", at positions 771 to 1409 of the family's 1533-position model. The record is from RNAcentral. Lineage: Eukaryota; Metazoa; Echinodermata; Holothuroidea; Apodida; Synaptidae.
UCUGGGAUUAGAUACCCCACUAUUCUCUCCCACCAGAUGAGUACUACGGUUCCUAAAUUAAAACUCAAAUUACUUGGCGGCCUUUCAUCACACACCAGAGGAGUUUGUGCCAUAAUCGAUAAUCCGCGAGAUACCUAACCACUCUUAGAUAAUCAGCUAGUAUAUCCUCGUCGUCAAAUAACUCUAUAAAGACGUUAUUUCGAAGUAAAUUAACCCAAAGUCAGAUCAAGAUGCUGCUAAUGGAGUGGGUGUUUCAUGAACUACAAAAGCUUUAGAAAGUUUCUAACUUAAGGUAUUAAAUAACCUAAUGUUAGGAGGAUUUGGAAGUAAUAUUCUAAAUAGAGAAAAAAGAUAUGAAAAAUGAAAUGAAAGGUGCACACACCGCCCGUCACCCUCCUCAA